GAUGAACGCUGGCGGCGUGCCUAAUACAUGCAAGUCGAGCGAACAGACGAGGAGCUUGCUCCUCUGACGUUAGCGGCGGACGGGUGAGUAACACGUGGAGAACCUACCUAUAAGACGGGGAUAACUUCGGGAAACCGGAGCUAAUACCGGAUAAUAUAUUGAACCGCAUGGUUCAAUAGUGAAAGACGGUUUUGCUGUCACCUAUAGAUGGAUCCCCUCCGCGUUAGCUAGUUGGUAAGGUAACGGCCUACCAAGGCGACAAUGCGUAGCCGACCUGAGAGGGUGAUCGCCCACACUGGAACUGAGACACGGUCCAGACUCCUACGGGAGGCAGCAGUAGGGAAUCUUCCGCAAUGGGCGAAAGCCUGACGGAGCAACGCCGCGUGGGUGAUGAAGGUCUUCGGAUCGUAAAACUCUUUUAUUAGGGAAGAACAAAUGUGUAAGUAACUAUGCACGUCUUGACGGUACCUAAUCAGAAAGCCACGGCUAACUACGUG
RNAcentral lists this ribosomal RNA (497 nucleotides) under uncultured bacterium. RNAcentral describes it as "partial 16S ribosomal RNA". It matches the Rfam family "Bacterial small subunit ribosomal RNA", at positions 28 to 507 of the family's 1533-position model. The record is from RNAcentral.